This 1209-nucleotide ribosomal RNA is filed under the name Janthinobacterium svalbardense. RNAcentral's name for it is "bacterial SSU rRNA". It matches the Rfam family "Bacterial small subunit ribosomal RNA", at positions 37 to 1241 of the family's 1533-position model. Lineage: Bacteria; Pseudomonadati; Pseudomonadota; Betaproteobacteria; Burkholderiales; Oxalobacteraceae. The record is from RNAcentral.
GGGGAGUGAGGAGUCUUACCAUGCAGUCGACGGCAGCACGGAGCUUGCUCUGGUGGCGAGUGGCGAACGGGUGAGUAAUAUAUCGGAACGUACCCUGGAGUGGGGGAUAACGUAGCGAAAGUUACGCUAAUACCGCAUACGAUCUAAGGAUGAAAGUGGGGGAUCGCAAGACCUCAUGCUCGUGGAGCGGCCGAUAUCUGAUUAGCUAGUUGGUAGGGUAAAAGCCUACCAAGGCAUCGAUCAGUAGCUGGUCUGAGAGGACGACCAGCCACACUGGAACUGAGACACGGUCCAGACUCCUACGGGAGGCAGCAGUGGGGAAUUUUGGACAAUGGGCGAAAGCCUGAUCCAGCAAUGCCGCGUGAGUGAAGAAGGCCUUCGGGUUGUAAAGCUCUUUUGUCAGGGAAGAAACGGUGAAAGCUAAUAUCUUUUGCUAAUGACGGUACCUGAAGAAUAAGCACCGGCUAACUACGUGCCAGCAGCCGCGGUAAUACGUAGGGUGCAAGCGUUAAUCGGAAUUACUGGGCGUAAAGCGUGCGCAGGCGGUUUUGUAAGUCUGAUGUGAAAUCCCCGGGCUCAACCUGGGAAUUGCAUUGGAGACUGCAAGGCUAGAAUCUGGCAGAGGGGGGUAGAAUUCCACGUGUAGCAGUGAAAUGCGUAGAUAUGUGGAGGAACACCGAUGGCGAAGGCAGCCCCCUGGGUCAAGAUUGACGCUCAUGCACGAAAGCGUGGGGAGCAAACAGGAUUAGAUACCCUGGUAGUCCACGCCCUAAACGAUGUCUACUAGUUGUCGGGUCUUAAUUGACUUGGUAACGCAGCUAACGCGUGAAGUAGACCGCCUGGGGAGUACGGUCGCAAGAUUAAAACUCAAAGGAAUUGACGGGGACCCGCACAAGCGGUGGAUGAUGUGGAUUAAUUCGAUGCAACGCGAAAAACCUUACCUACCCUUGACAUGGCUGGGAAUCCUCGAGAGAUUGAGGAGUGCUCGAAAGAGAACCAGUACACAGGUGCUGCAUGGCUGUCGUCAGCUCGUGUCGUGAGAUGUUUGGGUUUAAGUUCCCGCAACGAGCGCAACCCUUGUCAUUAGUUUGCUACGAAAAGGACACUCUAUGAGACUGGCCGAUGACAACUGCAGCAGCUGAGAUGACGUCAAGUUCUUCAUGACCUUUAUGGUAGGGCUUCACCACACGUUCUAUAACCUAUGUGUUU